GAUGAACGCUGGCGGCGUGCCUAAUACAUGCAAGUCGAGCGAACAGACGAGGAGCUUGCUCCUCUGACGUUAGCGGCGGACGGGUGAGUAACACGUGGAUAACCUACCUAUAAGACUGGGAUAACUUCGGGAAACCGGAGCUAAUACCGGAUAAUAUAUUGAACCGCAUGGUUCAAUAGUGAAAGACGGUUUUGCUGUCACUUAUAGAUGGAUCCGCGCCGCAUUAGCUAGUUGGUAAGGUAACGGCUUACCAAGGCAACGAUGCGUAGCCGACCUGAGAGGGUGAUCGGCCACACUGGAACUGAGACACGGCCCAGACUCCUACGGGAGGCAGCAGUAGGGAAUCUUCCGCAAGGGGCGAAAGCUGGACGGAGCAACGCCGCGUGGGUGAUGAAGGUCUUCGGAUCUUAAAACUCUGUUAUUAGGGAAGAACAAAUGUGUAAGUAACUAUGCACGUCUUGACGGUACCUAAUCAGAAAGCCACGGCUAACUACGUG
RNAcentral lists this ribosomal RNA (497 nucleotides) under uncultured bacterium. RNAcentral's name for it is "partial 16S ribosomal RNA". It matches the Rfam family "Bacterial small subunit ribosomal RNA", at positions 28 to 507 of the family's 1533-position model. The record is from RNAcentral.